This is a long non-coding RNA of Athene cunicularia (burrowing owl), 455 nucleotides long. RefSeq lists it as uncharacterized. The record is from RefSeq and is a predicted model, not a curated record. The transcript is spliced from 4 exons. NCBI's taxonomy places the organism in Eukaryota, Metazoa, Chordata, Aves, Strigiformes, Strigidae.
UUUGUGUUUGGAAACAAGAUUGCAAGGCCACCAUAACAGGGUCGCAGAGACAGCUGUCUGGCCCUGUGACCUGGCGUGAGACCUUGCUCAUAAAUCAAUUAGAUAAGCUGGGAAACUACCUUAGUUUCUUCCUUGAGCCCUGGCCAGGCCCUGGGAGAAUCUAACGUAAGAAUAGAACCAGAUAUUUCUGCUUAAAUCAAAGGUGCCAGCUAUUCUGGCUACCUAAUUUUGAGGUAUAUAAGGCUGGACCUGUUCACAGUGACUUCGGAAGCCUCACCCAUGGGUGGACGCACCACGUAGGAUUUCCCACUUGAAGGAACAGGUUCUCUAAAUCCUCGCUGUAACUGGGGCUCCCCAGUGACUGCGGAUCUAGAUGAUGGUAAAGUAUGCAAGUGGUGAUGGAUCUUUCUUAAUCACUGUUCUCUUUCUCAGGUAGUAAUGAUUUGAUGCAUUAC